AAGAACAUAUGUUCUUAAUUUUAAUAAAGUUAAGUUUAUUAGUUUGUUUUUUUCUAUGGAUUGUGCUUUUGGUGUCUGUUGUGGGUUAAUUGUGUUCACCUAAAAAAGAUGUUGGUAUCCUAACCCCUUGUACCUCAGAAUGUGACCUUAAUUAAAGAUGGGGUCUUUACAGAGGUAACCAAAUUAAAAUGAAGUCAUUAGGGUGGACUCUAAUCCAAUAUGACCAUUGUUCUUAUAAAAAGGGGGAAUUCAGACACAGAUAAGUACAGAGGGAAGACCGAUGUGAAGAUACAGGGCGGAGAGAGCCAUUUCCAAGUCAAGGGGAGAGGCCUGGAGCACGUCCUUCCUUCACUGCCUUCAGAAGGAACCAACCUUACUGACACCUUGAUUUUGGACUUCUAGCCUCCAUAACUGUAAGACAAUAAAUUUCUGUUUUAGUAGCCACCUGCAUUAUGGUACUCUGCUAUGGCAGACUUUGAAAACUAAUACAGUGUCACAAAGAUUUUCUUCUACAUUUUCUUUUGGAACUUUUAUAGUUUUAGGAUUUACAUUUAGGUCUAUGAUCCAUUUUGAGUUGAUUUUUUGUGUGGUGGGAAGUAUGGUUUGAAAGUCAAUAUGGAAAUUUACAUAUGGAAAUCCAGUAGUUUCUUCUCAUUUUUUAAAAAGAUUCUCUUUCUCCAUUGAAUUGCUAUUUUACCUCUGUUAAAAAUUAGUUUUCUAUUCAUGUGCAUCUGUUUCAAGACCCUCUAUUCUGCUCCAUUGUCCUAUUUGUCUAUCUUGAUGCUAAUACCAAUCUGCCUUCAUUACCGUAGUUUUAUGAUAAGACUUCAUAUCAGGUUGUUUUAGUCCCCUAUCUUUGUUCUUUUUAAAAAUUGCUUUGGCUAUUUUAGGGCUUUGGCAUUUCCAUAUGAAUUUUAGGAUCAGUUUGUCAGUUGUUACAAUUGGAUUGUACUGAAUCCAUAGAUACAUUUGAGAAGGCAGCAUUUUAACAAUAUCAUGUCUUCUGACCUAUAAAUAUAGGUAUAUCUCAACAUUAUUUUAGGUGUUCUUUACUUUCUCUCAGCAAUAUUUUCUAGUUUUCAGUAUAUAGGUCUUGACAAUCUCUUGUUAGAUUUAUUAGCCUUUCAGAUUUUUGAUAUUACUAUAGAUGUUAUUUUUAAAUUUCAACUUCUAAUUGCUCAUUUAUGGUAUCCAGAAAUAGAAUUGAGUUUUAUAUCAUGAUCUCAUAUCCUAAAAGCUUAUUAAACUGAUUAAUUAGUUCUAAUAGCUUUUUGGCAGAUUCCACGAGGUUUUUUACAUAAAAUGUCACGUUGUCUAUAAAUAAAGACAGUUUUAAUUCUUCUUUUCCAAUCUGCAUACCUUUUCUUUCUUUUCAUUGCCUAAUGCACUGGAUGCAACCUUGAUAAUAAUGUUGAAUUUUAGUAGUAAGAGGGGACAUCCUUUUCUCAUUGCUGAUCUUAUAAGGAACGCAUUCAGGCUUUUACGAAUAGUAUGAUGUUGAUCAGGUUGGCACUUUUUCUCUGGAAAGAACAAGGUAGUACAUUUUUGGCUUGAGGACCACAAGGUCUUCCUGGUAACUACUCACUCAGAUGUUGUAGUACAAAAGCAGCGAUGUCUUUCUUGCAUGCAUCUAUUCAUCCUUACUUAGCUGGAUACAUAAGUAGGAUUCUUUGCAGAUCUCUUUAUUUAGCUCUCUUUAUGUAGCUCUUUUUUUUCCCCCCUCAGGUAUGCUGUCCUGUGACUUCUAGCUACCUUGAUCUUCCUGGAAUCUCAACUCCAUCUCCUGACUCGGGGUUCACUGGGUUCCACCUGGGUUACUCUUGUUGGACUGAGCCCUGGAAACCUUCCCAAGGCAGUAAGCUGUGGCAACUACAGGGCUCCCUGCCUUUGCUUCCCAUGUCUCUGGUGCAAACUUUCAUUGCCCGUUCCUUGCGGCAUGAUGUCCAGCUUCUUAAAAGCCAUUGUUUUAUGUAAUUGUAUGUUUUUAGAUUGUUUCUUAUGGGAGGAUAAAUCUAGUCACUGAUUUUUUAUUUUGGGCAGAAUUUGCCAUAUUUUUCCCCAUAACCUUGCAUUAUUCUGUAUCUUGGUUAAGAGUCUAUUCAUCAUUAUCUAACUUGGAGGAAUCUGUAGGCUUUUUUGGUCUUAUGAUAUCAAAAUAUUUUUGAACCCUUCAUUUGGACCUUUAAUAUCUUUUGAUCUAUACAUAAUGUAAAAAAGUUUUGUGACUUAGUCAAUACAUUUCAAUAUGAUUGUGUUUGAUAAAACAUGGUAGCAUCUGUAUGAUGCUGAAAUGUAGCAAAGUGUAUGUCAUGUUAUAUAGUCAUGUCUUGUUUUUUUUUCAGUUCACUAACAGUGCAGGUGUGCAUAUGAAUUCACAAACUCCUUUGCAAUAACGAUUCAUGUUCCCUAGAUGUUCUUGCAGCUCAGGCUGGAAAUCACUGCCCUAUAGGAUUUUAUGUGACAUAUCCUUCAGUUUAUGGUAUCCUUCAAUUUAUUUGAUCCAGUUUUUCAUAUGUCUUCAAGUUGGUUACCUAUGAAAUAGUGUUGUGGUUUAAAUAUCUGAACCCAGUAGUGGAGACCAAGGUGGGCCUGGUAGGUGCACUUGCACCCAAGUGUAGUUCAUCAGACACUGGACCUAGAGUUGCUUUUUCUACCCAAGGAACGCAUGUGUGGAAAGGAUCUCUAAUGGGAUAUGCCUGACCCAGAAAUCUUGCUGAACAGUAAAGGCCAAGCCUAGAAGUAGCAUCAAGCCAACAAAUUCAGAAGCUAUAAGCUGUGAUGAAAAUGGGAGACGGUUAAGAGGCAGAAACUAGAUGGACAUGGACUAAAAUAGCAGCGGUUUGGAAGCUAAGCCAAUGAGGUAGUGGCAUGGGGCCUGACGCAAAUGCCACUAGACCAUCCAUAGCUGCUUUUGUAUCUAGCAUGUUGCUCAUGGGUAGAUUGGGCCUGAAUAGCUACAGGGUUAUAGCAGACAGCUGCAAAGGGGUGUUUGCAGUAAGUAUUCAUUGAAGGAAUGGCGUAAACAAGACCAAAAACCGUGCUUGAAUUGAUAUCUAGUUAUUUUGUUUGUAGAUACACAUUUUUACUAUUUAUCUUAAAAGUUUCUCUGAAACCCUUUGUUCUAAAACUCCUAUUAUAUUAGCUUUCACUCCCCAUGAUAGUCUUUUUAGAGAGAAUGUCUCAAAAAAUAUUAGAACUUGCCAUUCAGUCAACAAACAUUUUUUGAAUGUCUGUCCUGUGGCACGUACAAUUUUAGGUAUUGAGGGUAUAGAAAUGAAAAAUAAACAAAUCAGUGAUUUAUUUGAGUUUCCAUGCUACUAGAAUGAGGCAUAAGAUAAAGAAAGUAAAAAAGUAAAAUAUGUGGAAUAACUAGUUACGUUCAAUGCCAUGGAAAGCAAUAAGGCUAAUUGGGACUAGUGACAGUGGUGGUGACAUUGGUGGUAUUUGUGUGCAAAUAAAUACAGUGUGGGCAGAAAGGCACACACCUGAAGUGGCUGAACAUUAUAUCUAUUGUCAGCUAGCUGGAUGAUUUGUCUCAUAGUAAGCCUCUAUGAUAUUUUAAAAAAUAAUUCAACCCAUGUUUUACACAUGUGAUUCCUUUGUGUGGCCUCCUUUAGUCAUAUUUCUGACCCCAGCCACAAGAGCUGGGAUUGUAAAACUGAUCUGAUUUACAAUAUCUUAAAAAUCAGUGGGCUGAAGUUUUGUUAGAAAAGAGCUAGGAGGCCAGUGUGGUAGAUGUGUUGAGGUGGCUCUUUGGAGUAAAGAGUUAGUGAGACAUUUUUGAGGGUCAAGCUUAUUUUAUUUUAUUAUUUGUUAUUAUUUUUAAAUCUAACAGCAGCAUCAAGGGUCAACCUUAUUUCUUAGGACACGUGGCCUAUGUGCAGACAGUGGUAUUGAACAGAAAAUGGCAAGCAAUGGACUCUGACACAGUCAGAUAAGUUCUGUCUUUAAGACCUUUUUGGGUCCUAAUAGAGUUAGUUAAUCUAAUUUAAUGAAAGAUACGUUGCUUAUGGAAUUCCAAAUUUCAUCUCACUUAUUUAGUCAUGAUGCAUGCCCUUGAAUAUCAUAAAAAUUAAGAUAAAUCUUGUAGGACAUAGGACUGACUAUGAUUACAACAAAGAGCAUCACAGAAAAUGUAUGGAACUGGGGAGGAAGGGAGUCCUCUACAACUGAAGUGUUAAUAUGCCAGAUGCUGGGCUCUUAUCUUGCUAAAGAGCAUUGUAGCUGGAGAGUGGCAGAGCCAAGAUUUAGAUCUGCCUUGGCUGACUCCAUAGAUGGAUCACUUUGCAUCAUGGCACCCUUCUUUUUUACUGUCUUUAGUGACUUCAUGGGCCACAAUUUCUCUCUGUUUCUCACCUUUGUUGGCCACAAGUGCAGCUCUUUUGCAGCAUCAACCAUGUUUCUCUUACAUACCCAACUUGCCUGUUUAUGGAAUUUCAUCACGGUUUUGUCUCCUGCCGUGCCGAUGAGUAGAAGAAAAACAUUCCAACGUUGAGCUCUUAUCCUUCUAAGGGAAGUGGCAUCACUGCAUCUUGUACUGCCAGUACCAACUGUAAGUGAUGGGCCUGGCAGUGGAGUCCUCUUUGGAUACAGGGCCUCUGACCCAGGUCUACUGGUGGUGUCUGAAGGAUCUGACACACAAGCAAUGGCUUAUUUCCGCUAUAAACAUCCACCACUGUAGAAACAUUUCUUUCCUGUAAAAGGACAUUUUAUAUAUUCUACCCCCUCCUUGAAUUAUAUAGUGUGGAGGAGGAUUUUCUGUUUAAUGAAAAAUAAGACAAUUUUUUUUUUUCAAAUUGAUCAGCCAAUGCCAGAAAACAUUAAUUCUUCUGGAGAGCAUUGUUCCUAUAAAGUGAAACUACUUCACCAAAUUAAUAUGCCAAGAAAACAAGAGGAGAGUAGUUUCAGGUAAAGAAGUAGAAAUCAAUUACCUGCAAAAUUUUAAAUGGUAUUUUUUUAGGUGAUUUUAUUUCCAGAUUAAACAAAUAAAACAUCUAUGCCUUUUCUUACCUGUUUGAACUUUCAGUUAGAACCAGUGGAACCAGGAAAGGAAUAAUAGACUUAUUAUUGAUCUGCAAAAAGAAAAUGCUACUAAAGAAAGACAAUAAUGACAUUUUUAAAAAGUGACUUUUGAAAAAUUAUUUUUCAAGAAUACUUUAAGAUAUCUUUUAUAGUACUGGAAGAAUUUGAUUAAGUCUGGCUUGAACAUUUAAGUGUGUCUGUAACUACCAGUGUGUGCAGGAAAAAAAAAGGUACUAAAUGCAGAUUCUGAAUUUUACACAGCUUCUUUAAAAUGAGCACAUUUUAAAAUGCCAAAUUAGCAGUAGACGAGAAGCAACCCCAAGACUCUGGAUGUAUGCUUAGUGUUGAAGAGUCUAUUCUAGUGAUACCCUUCAAACACACCAGCCAGUUGGGUGUAGCUCCUUCUAGUGUGAUUGGAGGAACCCCUUCUUUUACACUUAUAUUAAGAGGCAGAUGAGGGGGAAAAGGAAGAACACAGUUAAAAUUCUGGAUCUGGUGAGGUUUGUGUGAUUUUUCAGAAUCUCGAUAUUUUUAUCCAGUUGUGAACAUGAAAUGAGAUGAUAUGAGUGGGCACUUGAUCAAAAGACACCACUCAUGGAGUCAUGAUGAGAGUUGAUGGCCAGGGGUUUUGGUCAAUUCAGUCCAAUUCUGUGGACCUGAAGUUCAGCAUUUUAAAAGUGCUCUAUAGCAAAUAAAGUGCUAUAGAUCAGUAAAAGAUUGGUAACAGUGCUAGGCUAUAGGAUAUGUACUUUGAAUCCAGGGAGGCAAUGUUUUAUCCAUUUCUUCCUCCAUAGGAGCUAGCACCAAUAUGAACACAUAAUAUAUAUCAAAUAAAGAAAUCACCUCGUGGAAAUCAGAAGAGACAUCAGUUUUCUCUUACUAACAAUCUAGAUUUCUCUACAAGUGGCUCUUCAAAUAUGUUAAGAAGUGUAUUCUGUUCUCAAUAAUUUAGUAUUAAAAAGAAUUUACCUAGUAUGUAUACUUGAACUGUUGUGGCAUGUGUUAGAAAAUCCUUAAAUUAGUAUAAGAAAUAAAAACAUAAUGUAUUAAUGAAGGAAUUGGAGAAUCUGAGAGCAUAUGGGAUUUAGGUGUGGGUUGAUCCAGAAGCUCAGAUGAAGGCAUGAAGACCAGGUGUCUUACUCCAUAUUCCUACAUCCCUGGGCUUUGCUCUCUGCCAGGUUUAUCUGUUACAGCUAGGACUCACAAGAACCCAGGUUCAAAUCCAGCAGGAAAAAAGUCUCUAGUAACUCUUGCAAAAACCCCAGGACUCACUUGGACUAAUGGGACUUGGGCCACAUGCUUAUCCCUUAACAGUUCCUGGAGAAGGGAUGCUCAGUGUGCACACUGACCGAGUCUGGGUUAGGCUUCCCCUCUUGGAGCUUGGAGUAGGGUCUUCUCUAAGCACAUGGUCUGAUAAUGAGUGAUGAAAUGAGUAUUCUACUGCCAGAGGAAAGGAGGAGGGGACACCAGUGGCCUGUAUGCAGUUAAGACUCUACCCUGUCUGUGGACUCCUUGGUUGCCUUCUCUAGGCCUUUGUAGCUCAUUCCACCUCAGGUGAAAUUUAGAGAAGAGAUAUCAUUUUUAGUAAGAUCAUGAGAGGCCCAAAUAGUCUAAUUUGCUAUAUUGAUUUUUCUCAGGUUUCUUGGGUGCCAUUUGUGUCCAUAGGCAAUAAAACAACUGAGGCUUUCUCCAAGUAUCUAAACUGCACUCAAGGGUCUGACAAGAUCUUUCUAGUGAUCUUGGGAUCCAGAGAUUUGGGUGCAAGGAACUGAGUUCAAGUCCUCAUUACCUGUCUUGGCUGUGGCUUUCUGGCAAACUGAUCAAUAUGGCUUCUACAGAGCUCCACAUACACACGUACAGAGCAGCCACGUUACAUUCUAUACAGAGGAGAGUCUGCACAGAUGCCCCUUUUGCAUGAUUCACAUUUCAUCUCCUCAGAAAGGCCUUCUUCAUUCUUCUUAAUAAAUUGUUAUCUGAAAUUAGUUGUUUAUUUUUUGUCUACUCUCACUAACCUCUCAUAUGUAUUAAACCCCAUAAGAGUAAAAUGUUUUUCUAUCUUCUUUUCUUCAGUAACCACAGCAUCUGAAACAGUGCGUAGCAUAUGGUAGGCACUCAGUACACAGUUCCUAGAACAUGAAUAAAUGGCUUCUAGAACCAUUUUUCUAUGGCCUCUGUAGAGGCAGUAGGCACAAACUGUGUUUUAUAAAUGAGGUUGGAUUGAAUGACUACAAUAGCUGAAUCCAGUCACGGCCAUGUUGUUAUAAUGGAUGGGCCAUGCCAUGUAAUGAAGUAAUUAACUCCCAAAGUUUAUACUUCAUCCAAAAGACAUAUUACUGGCUUUAGGCAAGGAAUGAGUCUGGCCUCCAUGAUGGAUGGAACUUACAUUUAAAGACAAUAAGCAUUUUACUAUACAGUGUUUUAUCUUGAACCACACAGUUGCAUGUGAGGACAAAUAUGAUUUCACUAUACAGGAACAGAAUAAGGUUUGUGAUUAAUGUACUCUUGGAGCUCACAAUCUCACCAUCUACUUGGCAGAGAUAUUAAAGUAGUAGUUACUUCACUCAUGGAAUUCUACCAUCGUUUCUGGAAAUAAGCUAGAGUUUUCACGGUCAAUUCCUUCAUGGAUGCCCCAUCACCCUAAUCUGUGAGAAGAAGAACUGAUUCCAGCAACUGCACUUAUUAAUCGGAGUCUACAUUUCCUUAUUACAGAGAGGAGCUGUUGAUUGGAUCUCUGAGUAGUUCUGUGGUAGGCCGGGCUCCUUGGUGAAUUUAAUUCCUUUGCUCAAAUGUGCAGGCUUAAACUUUACAGAAAUGAAAUUGAAUGACCAUCAAGAGAAGCCACAGUGCCGAUGAUUUAGUGUAUUAGUAGGCCUCAGAGCAUAAGUUAGCUUUAUUUACAGAUAUUACUUUUAUGGUGAACUAUGUAAAAGGAUAUCAACAAAAAGAAACUGAAUUUCAACUUUCAGAAUAUUGCUUGUAGUUAUCACUCUGUUAGUCUAAAUGAUUUAAACUUUUUCAUUCCAUGUUGACAUUUUUAACAAACACAUAUGAGCACUUUCCAGGUAUUAAGAACCUGUUUUGGUUUCAGGAAAUACCCAGUUCAAAGGAAGAGGGACAGACCUGCACACCACUAAUUUUAAUGUAUAUUUUAAAUAGUAUAAUAGAAAUCUGUGCCAAAUAUCAUAAGAGGUGGCAAAUAAUUAUUGUUGGGAUGGAGCUAGUGUAUGUAGUGUGUGUGUGUGUGUGUGUGUGUGUGUGUGUGUCCGGAAGCGUAAAGAGACAGAUGGUUCUGAAGGCUGGCACAUAGUGGAAGCUUCCUGCUAAACAGAUGUCCCUCUCGGGGUAAUGCAUGCUGCCCAAGAAACCUAUGCUUUUUGGCACCUGCACCCAUUGCCAAGGGUCUUCCUACUCUCUAAAUCGGCAGCCUGUACUUCAAGUAGAUGGAAGGAGGGAAUAUGGGUCAGCCAGAAACCAUGAACAAAUUCAAAGGCAUUUGUUUGGCCUGGAGGGUGAUAAAAGUUCAGAACUGAUGGUUUUUGUUUGUUUGUUUUGAUUCUAAGAUUUGGUGCCCUUUGCUAGGAGACCAAUUGGCCCAUCAGCUCUCAGCAGCAUUCACUCUGUGUAGCUAUAAAACUCUUCUUGGUUCUUUGGGGAAUUUCAAAGUUGAGUAGAAAAUCUAUUCUUGCCCGUGAGGAACUGGCAAUUCAAUCACUUUUCCCAAAGCCAAAAUCUAGAGGGAAUGAGACUAAAACAAACAAAGCACAACAACAAAAAACUUGAUGCAAAAAUAGUAGCAUAAUAUGAUAAUUACGUGGUAAUUUAAAACAUAAUUUAAAAAACGGUUUACUGUUACAUGGAUUUAGAUGUAGAAUUGGAAAAAUGUUGGAGAAAUAUUCUCUGCUGUAAAACAGGGCUUCUGGGCAUAGGGGGUGUGGUGGAGGAUGAAUCAUCGCAGGUAGGCGUGCAAGUUUGUGUUUUGGGUCUUCAAAACAAAAAUUGCAUAAUUGACUAUCUUGUCCAUCAAGCAUUUCACAAAAUAGACCUCUGACCAAGAGGGGCUUCAGUGGCUCUCUCCCUUCCCCUCUCUUCUCAGUAUAAUUUUAGGAACCUCUUGGACAGUAGCUACACCUAUAGUUAAUGGGAAUACAGGGAGUAUUCAGAAAAAAAACAAACAAAAAAACCCUGCCUUUCUGAAUAAAAAGAAGAAAGAGAAAAAAAUGUC
Long non-coding RNA from Sapajus apella (tufted capuchin), 9244 nucleotides. RefSeq lists it as uncharacterized. Lineage: Eukaryota; Metazoa; Chordata; Mammalia; Primates; Cebidae. The transcript is spliced from 2 exons. The record is from RefSeq and is a predicted model, not a curated record.